CCACACCCACACUUGGCCAGGUUACACAACACAAGGAAGCCUGGAACACAAUGUCAACUGCUGAUGUUUCUAAAAAGUCCCUCUCUUCUGUUAGGAUGCAGCCCAGGAGCCAUCAUCUGCAUGAGGCCUUUCUGGAUCCCCCAACAGUUUUGUCAUGACAAUGAUGGGAAAAAGAAAUAGAAGAGAGACAAUAGGAGCAGAAAGAGGAAAAGGAGACCAUGGUGAC
Vombatus ursinus (common wombat) is the source of this 226-nucleotide long non-coding RNA. RefSeq lists it as uncharacterized. The transcript has 3 exons. NCBI's taxonomy places the organism in Eukaryota, Metazoa, Chordata, Mammalia, Diprotodontia, Vombatidae. The record is from RefSeq and is a predicted model, not a curated record.